ACAACCACCCUCAACUUCCCGUUUUCCACCCAAAUACCAUCCCCGAACUUCGUCUUCUCAGCGCCUAAAGACAUUAGCCGCAGAACAGAACAAAAACGACUCUGCCCUUCAUCUUCUUCGGCGCUAAAUCACAAAUAGAGACCCCAUGUACGAAUCUCUUAAAAGCUCAGUGAAAAGCAUUUAAAAGCAUCACAAACCCAUCGUAAGAAAAGUUUAAUGAAAAGCAACUUCAAAUCUCCGGCCAAACAAUCACAAACCCAUCGUAAGAAAAGCAUCACUAUCAGCCACAUAUAAUCAACACAAACCUCCACCAAAGUCCAGCCCCAAAACGCAACCACGGAUUUGAGUCGAACCGUCGAGCUUUCUGUUAGCAGAUCCAAGGUGUCGAUUCGAGGUCCGUUGUUGAAUCCUGUCGCGGUUCUACUCGUUGUGGAGUUUCACAAUAAUAAAAUUCAAAUCAUUCAUUUGAGGUAUGCCCUUCAUCUUUGUUUCUUCUAUGCUUUUGUGAACGAUGAUACCAUGUUAGAUUUAAGUUGCUCUUAAUGCUUGAACAUGUUUUCAUGCCUGAAGGGCUAUCUUAUCUUCUUGUACUCGUUGAUUUGAUAUUUUUUAGCAUGCUAAAUGGUUUAAGUUAAUACAGUAGGAUUUUUCAUUCAUUUUAAGUAGAUACAUAAGUAUAUGAAUGAGUUAUUUAGUAGUGGCGUGAGUUUUUAAACUAAAAUAUAAGUUCGAGUCCUUGGAAUUUUGGGUGGGAUUGGGAAUAAAAAAAGGUAUAAAAUAAAUAAGUUUUCAUGUCAGCGGGAGGAGAGUUUCAAUCAUACUUCUAUUUGGAAUAUAAUUCUUUGAGUUAUUGAUUCAUGCCUACGGCAUGCUUAGAUCGUUAGGAACAACUUUCCCUAUAAUAAAACUGACGCGUGCCAUUCAUACAAUUGAAUCACAUAAUCUAUGGCCCUCAUAUUAAUUAUCUUAACUUAUAUAGAAAAUGCCUUGAACUUUCGUAGUUUGCUUUAGGCGCGUUAAUUAAAUAAAUUGUCAUAGCUACGGGUACGGUUCCCGUGACGUAGUUGUGAUGCUUGAUUUCUAAAUCCGGGGGUACAUUUAUGUGACCCGGCCACAAUUUAACCUUGUUAAUAAAAUAAACAUGUUGUGGAUCAUGGGUACGGUUCUCGUGAUAUGAUUCGCAACGUGUAAUCAAAUAAUUAGUUGUAUAACAAUUGGAUUAUUAAAAGCGGUUUUAAAAGGGAUAAAAUGCACGUAGGUUUAAAAUGUGUAAUUAAUCAGAUAAUUAGGCCAAUAAUAUUAGUUGAUCAAUCGUGCUAGAACCACGGAACCUAGGAAUGACUAACACGGAACCUAGGAAUGACUAACACCUUCUCCCGAGUUAACAGAAUUCCUCACCCGGAUUUCUGUGUUCGUAGACCGUAAAUAGAGCCAAUCUUCCUCGAUUCGGGAUUUUAACCGGUGACUUGGGACACCAUAAAUUAUCCCAAGUGGCGACUCAGAAUUUUAAAUAAAAUAAUCCCGUUUCGAUUGUCACUUCAAUUGGAAAAAACUCUCUUAAUAUCCCAUGCGGAGUGGUAGAAAAGAGGUGUGAAAGCUCUGGCGACUCUGCUGGGGACAAGAACCCAGAAUCUCUGGUUCAAGGUUCAAAAAUUCGAGUUUAGAAUAAUUGUUAUAUUUGGCUUUAUUUAUUGUCUAAUUUUAUUUACAUGUUUGGGCCUAAUGUGCUAAAUGUUGCUUUUUACCGCUUUGAUAUUAUCAGGAGUGUAUAUAAACUACUAUGAAACCCCUCUCUUCUAAUCUUCUGAGAAGUGCACGCUGGCGUGACUUCUUUCUGUUAGUGUCAUACCCUAAUUAGAAUGAGGUUCGGAUAAGUUGCAAAGUCGGGUGAUCUUUUGGUUAUCGAUACGCUGCCCUCUCCCGGCUCGAGUUGUCCGCUCGGGUAAGCCAGGUCUAGAACAAUAUACUCAGGUUUUAAACCUAGAAUAACCCAGCCUCAUGCCGGAUCCCUAGUAGGAACGUUUGUUUGCAUCAUGUAUAUUUGAUUUUGGGGACUCAACACAGGGGUUAGGUCCGUCUAGGACAGGUGUACCCAAAAUAAAAGACCAUCUUGAUGCAUCUUAUGUGCUAUAUGUUACGUUCUUCAGGGGCAAAAAGGGUCAUUUGGCGGACCAAUGCGGGUUGAGGGAAAAGGAGAAAGAGAAGAGUGUGAAGUGUGAAGUGUAAAAUAAAGUAAGUAGGGCCCAGUUAUAAUUUUAUUUCACGCUUUUUCAAGAAAAGACUAAAAAAUAAAAAUGAAAAAUCCAAAAUGAUUUUGCAAUUUCCCAUUAUUUUUUCAAAAAAAAAUUAGAGAAAAAGAGGAAAAAGAAAAUCCAAAAAAGAGUUUACAUGUUUCAUCAUUUUUUUUCAAAAAAAAAAACAUUUUCUCUAAAUUAGCUGUUUUUUUCAAUUCUCGCCCGUAUCCAAUCUGUCCGAACUACGCAUACCUGAUUCUCGUCUUUCGGGGCGUGAUACGUAGGCAACCCACAUAGGGUCCGGUCUUCCUAGCUAAUCUUAGGUUCUUGGCUUUGCGGGAUCUUAGCCGAAUUUUGCACUUCUAGCCACAUUUUGGUCACAUAAGCCAUUUUGCAAAAAUAGUCUCAAUCAUGUCUUGCAUGCAAUAGGGAGGGCUAUUGUCUCACAUGGUGCUCUAGGUCUUAAACUCUAUUUGGCCUUAAUUUUCUCAUACAGGUGUGGGUCUACUUACCGGAGUUUGAGCAUGACAGACACCCCAGGACCAUCUAGUCAGGAUCGCUCAUUCAGGAGUUGCUUGAGGAGAUUUUUUAUUUUUCAUGUUUUGAGUUUGUUCUUCAUUUUAUGUCGUCUUUUACUUUCUAGUUUUGUACAGUAAUGUCGAGUCUUUUGUUAUUGUACUUUCUACUUUGUAUUUGAAAAGUGUGUUGUACCUCAAAAAUCCAAAAAAAAAGAGGUUUUGCGUUUUAUAUUUUCGUUAGAAGUUUUCUUUUGAAUACUAAUAAAAAAAAUCAUUUGAGGUGGUUUUCCUUUA
Molecule: long non-coding RNA, 3046 nt
Filed under: Nicotiana tabacum (common tobacco)
Lineage: Eukaryota; Viridiplantae; Streptophyta; Magnoliopsida; Solanales; Solanaceae
Description: long non-coding RNA (NTAB_LNC007294)
Source: RNAcentral